Molecule: ribosomal RNA, 432 nt
Filed under: uncultured bacterium
Lineage: Bacteria
Description: bacterial SSU rRNA
Rfam family: Bacterial small subunit ribosomal RNA
Source: RNAcentral
UGAGGAAUAUUGGUCAAUGGUCGGGAGACUGAACCAGCCAAGCCGCGUGAGGGAUGAAGGUGCUAAGCAUUGUAAACCUCUUUUGUCAGGGAACAAAGGCAUCCACGAGUGGGUGUGUGAGUGUACCUGAAGAAAAAGCAUCGGCUAACUCCGUGCCAGCAGCCGCGGUAAUACGGAGGAUGCGAGCGUUAUCCGGAUUUAUUGGGUUUAAAGGGUGCGUAGGCGUCCUGUUAAGUCAGCGGUAAAAGCCCGGGGCUCAACCCGGCGAGCGUCGAACAUGGCUGGCUGGAGUUGGCGAGAGGUAUGCGGAAUGCGCGGUGUAGCGGUGAAAUGCUUAGAUAUCGCGCAGAACUCCGAUUUCGAAGGCAGCAUGCCGGCGCCACACUGACGCUGAGGCACGAAAGCGUGGGGAUCAAACAGGAUUAGAUACCC